UGGGGAAUAUUAGAAAUGGACGAAAGUCUGAUCUAGCAACACCGCGUGUGCGAAGAAGGCCUUCGGGUUGUAAAACACUUUUUGGAAGGAUUAGGAAGGAAUGUACUUCCAGAAUAAGUCUCGGCUAACUACGUUCCAGCAGCCGCGGUAACACGUAGGAGGCAAACGUUAUCCGGAUUUACUGGGCGUAAAGCGCGUGUAGGUGGUUCUGUAAGUAGGGCGUGAAAGCUCCUGGCUCAACUGGGAAAGGCCGUUCGAAACUGCAGGGCUAGAGGAUGGUAGAGGGAGGUGGAAUUCCGGGUGUAGCGGUGGAAUGCGCAGAUAUCCGGAGGAACACCAGUGGCGAAAGCGGCCUCCUGGACCAUUCCUGACACUCAGACGCGAAAGCUAGGGUAGCAAACG
Molecule: ribosomal RNA, 402 nt
Filed under: uncultured prokaryote
Description: bacterial SSU rRNA
Rfam family: Bacterial small subunit ribosomal RNA
Source: RNAcentral